This 511-nucleotide ribosomal RNA is filed under the name uncultured bacterium. RNAcentral's name for it is "bacterial SSU rRNA". It matches the Rfam family "Bacterial small subunit ribosomal RNA", at positions 11 to 508 of the family's 1533-position model. The record is from RNAcentral.
GUUUGAUUCUGGCUCAGGAUUAACACUGGCGGUAUGCCUAAUACAUGCAAGUCGAACGGAAUUGAUCUUUCGGGAUUGAUUUAGUGGCGAACGGGUGAGUAACACGUGCUUAAUCUACCCUUAAAUCAGGAAUACGUACUGGAAACGGUAAAUAAUACCUGAUGUGUUUUUUAAAACGCAUGUUUUAAAAAACAAAGCAACUUCUGGUUGUGUUUAAGGAUGAGAGCGCGUCGCAUUAGAUUGUUGGUGGGGUAACGGCCUACCAAGUUAAUGAUGCGUAGCUGAACUGAGAGGUUGAACAGCCACACUGGGAUUGAGAUACGGCCCAGACUCCUACGGGAGGCAGCAGUAAGGAAUUUUUCACAAUGGGCGCAAGCCUGAUGAAGCAAUACCGCGUGAUUGAUGAAGGUUUUCGGAUCGUAAAAAUCUGUGGUAAAGAAAGAAAAUCAAUUUGAAGAAAAGCGAGUUGAUUUGACGGUACUUUACUAGAAAGUCACGACUAAUUACGUGC